GAUUGGUGCUUGCAUCAUGAUUUACAUUUGAGUGAGUGGCGAACUGGUGAGUAACACGUGGGAAACCUGCCCAGAAGCGGGGGAUAACACCUGGAAACAGAUGCUAAUACCGCAUAACAACUUGGACCGCAUGGUCCGAGCUUGAAAGAUGGCUUCGGCUAUCACUUUUGGAUGGUCCCGCGGCGUAUUAGCUAGAUGGUGGGGUAACGGCUCACCAUGGCAAUGAUACGUAGCCGACCUGAGAGGGUAAUCGGCCACAUUGGGACUGAGACACGGCCCAAACUCCUACGGGAGGCAGCAGUAGGGAAUCUUCCACAAUGGACGAAAGUCUGAUGGAGCAACGCCGCGUGAGUGAAGAAGGGUUUCGGCUCGUAAAACUCUGUUGUUAAAGAAGAACAUAUCUGAGAGUAACUGUUCAGGUAUUGACGGUAUUUAACCAGAAAGCCACGGCUAACUACGUGCCAGCAGCCGCGGUAAUACGUAGGUGGCAAGCGUUGUCCGGAUUUAUUGGGCGUAAAGCGAGCGCAGGCGGUUUUUUAAGUCUGAUGUGAAAGCCUUCGGCUCAACCGAAGAAGUGCAUCGGAAACUGGGAAACUUGAGUGCAGAAGAGGACAGUGGAACUCCAUGUGUAGCGGUGAAAUGCGUAGAUAUAUGGAAGAACACCAGUGGCGAAGGCGGCUGUCUGGUCUGUAACUGACGCUGAGGCUCGAAAGUAUGGGUAGCAAACAGGAUUAGAUACCCUGGUAGUCCAUACCGUAAACGAUGAAUGCUAAGUGUUGGAGGGUUUCCGCCCUUCAGUGCUGCAGCUAACGCAUUAAGCAUUCCGCCUGGGGAGUACGGCCGCAAGGCUGAAACUCAAAGGAAUUGACGGGGGCCCGCACAAGCGGUGGAGCAUGUGGUUUAAUUCGAAGCUACGCGAAGAACCUUACCAGGUCUUGACAUACUAUGCAAAUCUAAGAGAUUAGACGUUCCCUUCGGGGACAUGGAUACAGGUGGUGCAUGGUUGUCGUCAGCUCGUGUCGUGAGAUGUUGGGUUAAGUCCCGCAACGAGCGCAACCCUUAUUAUCAGUUGCCAGCAUUAAGUUGGGCACUCUGGUGAGACUGCCGGUGACAAACCGGAGGAAGGUGGGGAUGACGUCAAAUCAUCAUGCCCCUUAUGACCUGGGCUACACACGUGCUACAAUGGAUGGUACAACGAGUUGCGAACUCGCGAGAGUAAGCUAAUCUCUUAAAGCCAUUCUCAGUUCGGAUUGUAGGCUGCAACUCGCCUACAUGAAGUCGGAAUCGCUAGUAAUCGCGGAUCAGCAUGCCGCGGUGAAUACGUUCCCGGGCCUUGUACACACCGCCCGUCACACCAUGAGAGUUUGUAACACCCAAA
Molecule: ribosomal RNA, 1378 nt
Filed under: Lactiplantibacillus plantarum
Lineage: Bacteria; Bacillati; Bacillota; Bacilli; Lactobacillales; Lactobacillaceae
Description: bacterial SSU rRNA
Rfam family: Bacterial small subunit ribosomal RNA
Source: RNAcentral